Molecule: long non-coding RNA, 309 nt
Filed under: Amborella trichopoda
Lineage: Eukaryota; Viridiplantae; Streptophyta; Magnoliopsida; Amborellales; Amborellaceae
Description: long non-coding RNA (ATRI_LNC003481)
Source: RNAcentral
UUUAUGGUUGUGUUUUUUAUCCUGCUGUAAUUGUAUGAAAUUGUAUGAAACAUUAUUGCUGCAUUGUUGGCAACUUGCUCAUCUUGCUGGAAUUGCUGCAUUGGUGGUAAUGUUGGAUCAAAGUGUAUCCAUGGUAAGAAUAAGAGGAAUUGCUUAGUGCUUGCAUGGUUGUGAUGACUGGUUAACAUGAUUCUAUUCUUUUGCAAAGUGUAUCCAUUGGAAGAGUUAUGGUGUGGUGACUUCUUUUCAGAUCUUUCUUUUUGUGACAAGGAUAUAUUCAGGUAGAUUUGUAAGAUUAUAGCAUUUCAG